RNAcentral lists this ribosomal RNA (555 nucleotides) under Curvularia lunata. RNAcentral's name for it is "eukaryotic LSU rRNA". The stretch from base 184 to 337 matches the Rfam family "5.8S ribosomal RNA". The record is from RNAcentral. Lineage: Eukaryota; Fungi; Ascomycota; Dothideomycetes; Pleosporales; Pleosporaceae.
UAACCUGCGGAGGGAUCAUUACACAAAUUAAAAUAUGAAGGCUUCGGCUGGAUUAUUUUUAUCACCCUUGUCUUUUGCGCACUUGUUGUUUCCUGGGCGGGUUCGCCCGCCACCAGGACCACACCAUAAACCUUUUUUAUGCAGUUGCAAUCAGCGUCAGUAUAACAAAUGUAAAUCAUUUACAACUUUCAACAACGGAUCUCUUGGUUCUGGCAUCGAUGAAGAACGCAGCGAAAUGCGAUACGUAGUGUGAAUUGCAGAAUUCAGUGAAUCAUCGAAUCUUUGAACGCACAUUGCGCCCUUUGGUAUUCCAAAGGGCAUGCCUGUUCGAGCGUCAUUUGUACCCUCAAGCUUUGCUUGGUGUUGGGCGUCUUUUGUCUUUGGCCUCGCCCAAAGACUCGCCUUAAAACGAUUGGCAGCCGGCCUACUGGUUUCGCAGCGCAGCACAUUUUUGCGCUUGCAAUCAGCAAAAAGGACGGCAAUCCAUCAAGACUACAUUUUUACGUUNGACCUCGGAUCAGGUAGGGAUACCCGCUGAACUUAAGCAUAUCAAUA